GGUCAAGUGAAGAAGCGCAUACGGUGGAUGCCUUGGCAGUCAGAGGCGAUGAAAGACGUGGUAGCCUGCGAAAAGCUUCGGGGAGUCGGCAAACAGACUGUGAUCCGGAGAUGUCUGAAUGGGGGAACCCAGCCAUCAUAAGAUGGUUAUCUUGUACUGAAUACAUAGGUGCAAGAGGCGAACCAGGGGAACUGAAACAUCUAAGUACCCUGAGGAAAAGAAAUCAACCGAGAUUCCCUUAGUAGUGGCGAGCGAACGGGGACUAGCCCUUAAGUGGCUUUGAGAUUAGCGGAACGCUCUGGAAAGGGCGGCCAUAGUGGGUGAUAGCCCUGUACGCGAAAAUCUCUUAGUCAUGAAAUCGAGUAGGACGGAGCACGAGAAACUUUGUCUGAAUAUGGGGGGACCAUCCUCCAAGGCUAAAUACUACUGACUGACCGAUAGUGAACUAGUACCGUGAGGGAAAGGCGAAAAGAACCCCGGAGAGGGGAGUGAAAUAGAUCCUGAAACCGUAUGCGUACAAGCAGUGGGAGCCCACUUUGUUGGGUGACUGCGUACCUUUUGUAUAAUGGGUCAGCGACUUAUUUUCAGUGGCGAGCUUAACCGAAUAGGGGAGGCGUAGCGAAAGCGAGUCUUAAUAGGGCGUCUAGUCGCUGGGAAUAGACCCGAAACCGGGCGAUCUAUCCAUGGGCAGGUUGAAGGUUGGGUAACACUAACUGGAGGACCGAACCGACUACCGUUGAAAAGUUAGCGGAUGACCUGUGGAUCGGAGUGAAAGGCUAAUCAAGCUCGGAGAUAGCUGGUUCUCCUCGAAAGCUAUUUAGGUAGCGCCUCAUGUAUCACUGUAGGGGGUAGAGCACUGUUUCGGCUAGGGGGUCAUCCCGACUUACCAAACCGAUGCAAACUCCGAAUACCUACAAGUGCCGAGCAUGGGAGACACACGGCGGGUGCUAACGUCCGUCGUGAAAAGGGAAACAACCCAGACCGUCAGCUAAGGUCCCAAAGUUAUGGUUAAGUGGGAAACGAUGUGGGAAGGCUUAGACAGCUAGGAGGUUGGCUUAGAAGCAGCCACCCUUUAAAGAAAGCGUAAUAGCUCACUAGUCGAGUCGGCCUGCGCGGAAGAUGUAACGGGGCUCAAACCAUACACCGAAGCUACGGGUAUCACUUAGGUGAUGCGGUAGAGGAGCGUUCUGUAAGCCUGUGAAGGUGAGUUGAGAAGCUUGCUGGAGGUAUCAGAAGUGCGAAUGCUGACAUGAGUAACGACAAUGGGUGUGAAAAACACCCACGCCGAAAGACCAAGGUUUCCUGCGCAACGUUAAUCGACGCAGGGUUAGUCGGUCCCUAAGGCGAGGCUGAAAAGCGUAGUCGAUGGAAAACAGGUUAAUAUUCCUGUACUUCUGGUUAUUGCGAUGGAGGGACGGAGAAGGCUAGGCCAGCUUGGCGUUGGUUGUCCAAGUUUAAGGUGGUAGGCUGGAAUCUUAGGUAAAUCCGGGAUUCUAAGGCCGAGAGCUGAUGACGAGUUACCCUUUGGGUGACGAAGUGGUUGAUGCCAUGCUUCCAAGAAAAGCUUCUAAGCUUCAGGUAACCAGGAACCGUACCCCAAACCGACACAGGUGGUUGGGUAGAGAAUACCAAGGCGCUUGAGAGAACUCGGGUGAAGGAACUAGGCAAAAUGGCACCGUAACUUCGGGAGAAGGUGCGCCGGUGAGGGUGAAGCACUUGCUGCGUAAGCCCACGCCGGUCGAAGAUACCAGGCCGCUGCGACUGUUUAUUAAAAACACAGCACUCUGCAAACACGAAAGUGGACGUAUAGGGUGUGACGCCUGCCCGGUGCCGGAAGGUUAAUUGAUGGGGUUAGCUAACGCGAAGCUCUUGAUCGAAGCCCCGGUAAACGGCGGCCGUAACUAUAACGGUCCUAAGGUAGCGAAAUUCCUUGUCGGGUAAGUUCCGACCUGCACGAAUGGCGUAACGAUGGCGGCGCUGUCUCCACCCGAGACUCAGUGAAAUUGAAAUCGCUGUGAAGAUGCAGUGUAUCCGCGGCUAGACGGAAAGACCCCGUGAACCUUUACUAUAGCUUUGCACUGGACUUUGAAUUUGCUUGUGUAGGAUAGGUGGGAGGCUUUGAAGCGUGGACGCCAGUUCGCGUGGAGCCAACCUUGAAAUACCACCCUGGCAACUUUGAGGUUCUAACUCAGGUCCGUUAUCCGGAUCGAGGACAGUGUAUGGUGGGUAGUUUGACUGGGGCGGUCUCCUCCUAAAGAGUAACGGAGGAGUACGAAGGUGCGCUCAGACCGGUCGGAAAUCGGUCGUAGAGUAUAAAGGCAAAAGCGCGCUUGACUGCGAGACAGACACGUCGAGCAGGUACGAAAGUAGGUCUUAGUGAUCCGGUGGUUCUGUAUGGAAGGGCCAUCGCUCAACGGAUAAAAGGUACUCCGGGGAUAACAGGCUGAUACCGCCCAAGAGUUCAUAUCGACGGCGGUGUUUGGCACCUCGAUGUCGGCUCAUCACACCUGGGGCUGAAGCCGGUCCCAAGGGUAUGGCUGUUCGCCAUUUAAGUGGUACGCGAGCUGGGUUUAACGUCGUGAGACAGUUCGGUCCCUAUCUGCCGUGGACGUUUGAGAUUUGAGAGGGGCUGCUCCUAGUACGAGAGGACCGGAGUGGACGAACCUCUGGUGUUUCCGGUGUUGUCACGCCAGUGGCAUUGCCGGGUAGCUAUGUUCGGAAAAGAUAACCGCUGAAAGCAUCUAAGCGGGAAACUUGCCUCAAGAUGAGAUCUCACUGGGACCUUGAGUCCCCUGAAGGGCCGUCGAAGACUACGACGUUGAUAGGUGGGGUGUGUAAGCGCUGUGAGGCGUUGAGCUAACCCAUACUAAUUGCCCGUGAGGCUUGACCAU
RNAcentral lists this ribosomal RNA (2891 nucleotides) under Pseudomonas hefeiensis. RNAcentral's name for it is "23S ribosomal RNA". It matches the Rfam family "Bacterial large subunit ribosomal RNA". Lineage: Bacteria; Pseudomonadati; Pseudomonadota; Gammaproteobacteria; Pseudomonadales; Pseudomonadaceae. The record is from RNAcentral.